Molecule: non-coding RNA, 1556 nt
Organism: Ciona intestinalis (vase tunicate)
Lineage: Eukaryota; Metazoa; Chordata; Ascidiacea; Phlebobranchia; Cionidae
Source: RefSeq, a predicted model, not a curated record
AGCAGGCUAGAAUCUGAUGUCUGACGUAUCGGUUUUAUUUUAAAAAACCGGUGAUAACACAUCAGCAUCAUGUCAAACUAUGCUUGUAUAUAGUAUGUACGUAAAGACAUUAUAGUAUCGUGGCGCAACCGUUUGCUUCCUUUUAUGAAAUUAAAUACCAGAUUGAUGUUGGUUGCUACCAUUCGUUAAAGAGUGUUUGUGUCUUUGGACAUGUACGUAACCUAAAGUGCUUGUGUGUUUUUAUGUGGUCAAUAUAAUAGGGUGGGGGAAGAUGGGACACUGUCAGGAGCGGAUUUUAAAAAUUAUGAAUGUAUUGUUUUCGCUUAAGGUGUUUGACACUUUUUUUGCUAUCGAGCAAACAGGCUCGGACCGAUUACAUUGGUGUCUCCCCAUAUUAAUGUUAGUUGUAUUUACCGAUGAUGAUGAAAAGUUUAUUUUAACUAAAGAAUGUAUAUUGGUAUAUUGUGAUCAACAUAAAAUUUCUACCCAUUUGUAACUCAUAAAUUAAGCAAUAACAGUCUCCUAAAUAAAAGUUGCUUGCGGAUUGUGCUACUACGUCAGUAUAAAAACGAUGUUGUUUUAUUUUGUGAUUCCUAAAUGAGAAUUCUAUUUUUCUCGGCGUGUUAAAACAAUUGUCCAAUCUAUACGAUCCACAAGUCUUUUUGUUGCCCCCGACAAGAACAAAGCUGUCAUCUUUUCAGGUUCCAGAAAUAAGUAGAGAUACGACAUCAACAACAAGCGAAGAUUCCAACCACGCCCAGGAGGCUGCUUCGCUUGUGGUCGUUGAGGUUUUUUUACCAGGACCUCUCGCCAGUAGCCCUAGUUAUACCUGGACCCUGAUCUUCUGGGUUAGAGGAUCAAGGCACGCUAGGUAGCGAUCGACGCCACUCAACGGUUUUCGAAACGCGAAUAGCGACCACAAACAUACGCACAAUACACACAACCAAGAACUGCAGCCUGGACUGACCGUCUUAUAAACUGAACUUACACCUCCCAACAUGCCAUCGUUAUACGUGGCUUACCGCGUUAAGAGGCGUACUAUGAGAAAUUGGACACCGGACACAAGAAAUUGGACACGACACACACUUCUGAUCUGGCAUUGGCUGAUCCAAUAUGAUUUAAGAUAAAAAUAUAAAAGGGGUGAGCUGUAGCACCUAACCAUUUGCACCACAUUUUGUUUUUUUGUAUGUAUAUGUGAUUAGUAUGAAUAAAGUGUAGAACUGUAAAUUCUGAGUCACCAUGGCUGGACAGGCUAACUAUAAAAAACAAUACUCAGAUAAAUAAGAAAAGACCCAAUAGUCAGGUAAAUGAGACCCAAUAUAGUCAGGUGAAUGAGACCCAAUAGUCGGACAGGCUCCCAGGGUUACUGCCACAUCAUUGGAGUAGAGGUUGCAUAGAGAUUACGAACACGCAUAACAACUGUACGAAAUUAAUUCUCCUUCAUUGGCAAUUUUGUAGAAAAAAAAAGACAAAAAUUACGACGAAAAAGGCAAAAAUUACCACGUAAACAAAAAUGGAGCUCCGCGCAACGUAAAAUUAAGAAAAUCGCCAGCGUG